GCGUCGGUGGUUCAGUGGUAGAAUACUCGCCUGCCACGCGGGUGGUUCGGGUUCGAUUCCCGGCCGACGCA
RNAcentral lists this transfer RNA (71 nucleotides) under Rhipicephalus microplus (southern cattle tick). Its description in RNAcentral is "tRNA-Gly". It matches the Rfam family "tRNA". From Rfam's summary of the family: Transfer RNA (tRNA) molecules are approximately 80 nucleotides in length. Lineage: Eukaryota; Metazoa; Arthropoda; Arachnida; Ixodida; Ixodidae. The record is from Rfam by way of RNAcentral.